Long non-coding RNA from Mesocricetus auratus (golden hamster), 8078 nucleotides. RefSeq lists it as uncharacterized. The transcript is spliced from 2 exons. The record is from RefSeq and is a predicted model, not a curated record. NCBI's taxonomy places the organism in Eukaryota, Metazoa, Chordata, Mammalia, Rodentia, Cricetidae.
UGCUGGGCUUCUCGGGGUUUGGUAUCUUGUGAGUAAUUUUCUAUAUAAAAUACUUAGCCUUAUUUUCAGUAAUUGUGUGUCGCGUAUCGUUACAGCGUCCGUAAAGCCAACACAGCUCAGUUAUUUCUAAUCCUAGCAGUUGCAACUUGAGGCAGCAGAGACAUGAGUGAGCCGCCUUUGCUGAUUCUGCAUUUACAUUCUUGUUUUUAAGAUAAACCACAAUGUCAGAAAUGAGAAAUACAGUCUUAGUAGAAGGUAGAGAGUAUAAAGGAAUGGAAAUGUUGUAGAUAUGUUGCAAGGUCAGAAAAUGUUUCCUUAUGUUUUAUCAUUAUUUUUAUUUUUCAUUGUGUGCCUGCAUGUAGAUUUGCGCAUGAGCACACUGCCCACAUAGGCCACAAGAAGAUGCUGGAUCCCUGGGAGCCACAGGUGGUUGUAGGCUGUCUGGCAUGACCUCUAGGAAUUGACACUGGGACCUCCAGAAGAGCAGCAUGUUCUGGAAAGUACUGGGUCAUCUUUCCAGUCCCAGAAAAAAGUGUUCUUUAAAAUUGCAAGAAAAGAAACUUUUCUUCCUUAUUGUCCAUUCUUUUGUAAGUAACUGAAAAAAAAAUAGUAUAGUAUGCAAGAGGCAGUAGCUUUGUGUGUGUGUGUUGCAUGCAUGCAUGCUGUUGCAUGUGCACUCAAGUGUGUUUGUAGGUAUGAUGCUAAUAUCAGGCACCUUCCUUCACUACCCUACUUUUUGAAUCAGAGUUGGUCACUGAUGCAGCUAGAAGAGUGGGCUAGCAAGUCCCUGAGAAGCUGCGCUCCCCAGUGCUGUGACUACCAGUGAGUAUCGAGGUUUUAUAUGGGUGUUGAGGAUCCACACUCAGGUAGUCAUGCUUUCACAAAACUUUACUCAUGGAGCCAUCUCCCCAGGUCUUGUUUGAACUGACUUUGUGGCUGAGGCUGGCUUUGAACUCCUGAUCCCUGUGCCUUUAUCUUCCAAGGGCUGUGGCAUGUACUAUCACACUCAGUUUAAAACCUAGAUUUAAAAAAAAUGCAGUUUAUGGCACUGGGGAGUCGGCUUCAAGAGCACACUGCUCUUCCAGAAAACCCUGUGUCAAUACCUAGAUUCCCAGAGUGGUCAAGAGUACUUGUUGAUCUUACAGAGGACCUGGGUUAAUGCAUAACACCUACAUGGCGACUUAUAGCCAUUUGUCAUUCUAAGUGCCAAGGGAUCUAACACCCUAUUCUGACCUCAUCAGGCACCAGGUGCAUAGUCAUUAAGGCAAAAUACUCAUACACAUAAAAUAAUUUAAAAAUUGAAUAUGGUUUCUUGGUCCUUAUUCUAUAAUCACCUAAUAGAUUAUUUACUUCUAAGUAGAAGAGACAUAUUACAACAUAUAUUUUGGGUAGUGACUGUUAUAUAAUUCUUUGGCCAGGAGACUUACUGUAAACUAGCCUCCAGUCUGUCACAUUACAAUUCCCCUAUUAAACCACUCUCUCCUUUUUAUACUGUAUUGGCUCAACACAGGUGUUUAAAAUGAACUUUUGCUGUAACAACUAGUAUUUAUAUUGGGCUAUUCAUUGACACUGAAGAAGAAGCAAUAUGUAUAUGUAUGUAUGUAUGACAUGAAACAGCUCAUUUCAGCAAAUGAAAACACACAUUCUGUUUUGCUUUGAAGACUGAUCAUGAAAAAGAAAAUGUUGCACACCAAUCUUUUACAAGUACAUGUUGAAAAUAUUUAAGCGUGCCUGGUUAAAAUAUACUAUUUAUUCUCUCUCACUCUCUCGCAGUGGGGGCGGGAGACAAUGUCUUCCAUUCUAUCCAGGUUGAUCCAGAGACAAGUUACAAGAUUAGAAUCGGUGGCUUUUGUUGUAUUUCUGUUGUGCAGUAUAGUCCAAAUGCUUUACUUCCGUCCGGUUGCAAAUAGAAAAGUUGCAGAAUCUUUAGUGAACAGACGCUUUCUGUAAUCCAAACCUGCUCUGCUUGUUUUAUUACACACCAGCCCCCGACAGGCUCUUCUGUUCAUCCUUGAAUCCAUUUUAGCUUGUGUUGCAUUUCACUGUGAGGUGCAAAUGUUACCAUCCAUCUUUCCAGAUGCUUCAGGUCUAGAGGGUUAGCUCUGAAUCUGUUAAAGAACUGAAAAUCCAGGAUAGUGAUGGAUGGGUGGGUACAGGUGCUUGCCACUGAGUCUGAGGACCUGAGUUUGAUCCUUGGGACCUACCUGGUGGGAGGAGAGAAUCAACUCCUGAAAUUGCCUCACCCACCCCUCUAAAGAAAAUUAUACACACACACACACACACACACACACACACACACACACACACACAAAUCCCUCUGAAAAAUCCCUUCUGCCAUGGCCCUGUUUCUUUAGAUUUGAUUGUGCUGGUGUGGAAGGAGAUAAACAGACUAAAUGUAUCAAAUGGAGUUAACAAUUCUCAGUAAAAGGAACAUUUAAUCUCUGUUGACAUUAAAGAUCCAGAUUAGUCAACAGAUAUCUGGAAAUCUUACAACUUUAAGUACUUACUAAGAAAACAAAACAACCCCCACACCCCUACUCCCCCAAAGCCCUCUCCCAAGCUUUGGAAAUUCCCUGAGGAGUUUGAUGCCAUUUUUUGUGACGGAGAGAGUUGCGUGAGUUUUUUAAAGCCUGACUUCACUAUUAUGCACAUCUCAAAAGGUUACAGAGAUGACAGCAACCACUAGUUGUAACUGCUUUACUGGGAUUUCUGGCAUUUGCUAAUUUUCAAAUGGGUGAGAAGGUAAAAUUAACUGGAAAUCAAAUAUUUAGAAUAUUAUCCUACAGGUAGAUCACAGGUUCUGCUUGUUGUGUAGGACCAUCUGUAGAAAGGAAAAUAGUUGGAUAUUUAGCUUUAAACAAAGAUGGCUCAGUGGAUAAAGGCACAUGCCACCAAGCCUGUUGACUGGAGUUCAACUUCUGGAGCCUGCAUGGUGGGAGGAGAGGACAGACACGACACACACAUUUUAUGCCCAAUACACAUAACAAACCAAAAAACAAUGAAAUAUACAUCUCAAUGGUUUUUACAAAUUGUUGAUCAUUUAUGAAUACAUCCUCAUAAAACAAGCGAUGACGACCCCAGAAAGAAAGUGAAUUUGUUUCCGUCUCAUUCCAUCUUCAUUUACUGUAGAAACAUACCACAAAGUGUUAAAUAUCAACACUUAGCAGAUGGAGCUUUCUAAAUAGUGGUUUUUUUUUGUUUCACUAGUGCUGGGAUUGCAGAUUUGGGAGAUUUGUCUCUACACAAUCACUGUGACUCACAGAGGGAUGACUGACUGGCUGAUGGGAAAAAGGUAUCGCCCAUGGGCUAUUUUCCCUCGUCUCUGUAUACGGUCAAAUUGUGUUAAAUACAUCUAAAGACUGUUUUAUAUGUAGAAACAUUACCUUUCGUUUCUUUAAUCUCUCUCUCUCUCUCUCUCUCUCUCUCUCUCUCUCUCUCUCUCUCUCUCUCUCUCUCUGUGUGUGUGUGUGUGUGUGUGUGUGUGUGUGUGUGUGCUCUUGGGUAUGGACAACUUAUAGGAACCAAAUCUCUCCUUCCACUAUGUUGGUCCUGGGGCUUGAGUUCAGGUCUUUGGGCUUGACAGAAAGGGCUUUACCCUUAGGCUUUCUUGCCAGAAUCCUCUUUUAAAAAUUAAAAAGCAGUUUUCUUGAUUGUCUCGUUCUUUUUUCAUUUAUUUGAUCUAUCUUUACUUCUUUUAAUAGUCUUGUAAACUGUUUCUAGAAGAUUUUCUACAAUUUAAAUCUGUCAAAAUAUCCUUUAGGUGAUGAUGAUAACAAUAAUAAAUGAAGACCAUUCUCUUGAAACCAUUUACUCUCCAGUUUGGAGCAAAAUUUUUAGUUUUUAGCCCAUAUUUGGAAUUUUUUGUGUUUGAUAUCAGUUUACCAAGACUUGUUUUUUUUCUUUUUUUAAAUUCCAUCUUGGUUUAAUCUUAAGUUUUAGUAGAGAUUUUCUUUAACAGUUUUCUGAUAAAAGCCAAAAGAAAGUGAAUGUUUUAAAUCUUUGAAUCUUUAAAAAUGUAUUUCACUUUGCAUUUGCUUUUUGUUGUCUGUAGCCCAGGCUGGCCUGGAACUCACUGUAUAAUUAGGCUAGUCUCAAACUCAAAGCAAUCCUCCCAGCUCAGUUGCUUGAGUGCCUGCCUUGCGUACUAUUUUGGCAGACUGCAGAGCUGCAAAUUAGAAUCAUUUUCACUAAGCAUACUGAAGGCAUGUAGAGGCAUGGUCUUUGUAUCCUCUAGUGGUGAAAGCUGCAUCCAGGCCACACCCAGUGUCUUCAUACGAUUGAGGAAUCUUGCUUUUAAACUUUGCAAGUGUGGGGAACUUGUUUUCAAACUAGUUUUUAGGAAGGAAAGAAAGAGGAAAUUUGGGUAGGCAUGAUGGCACACCCCUUUUACCCCUGGAUCCAGAGGCAGAGGUAAGUAUCAGAGUUUGAGACCAGUCUGAUCUAUACAGUAAGUAUAAGACCAACCAGUGGGACUUAAACAGUACAUUUUAUAUAAAAAUCUCCUGGAUGCAGAGUGAAAGACCUUGAAAUACUUAGUCCUGAAUAGGAUGUCUCAAUCAAUUCCCCUUCUUUACAACUCAGGGAACCUGUAGAAAAGGAGACAGAAAGAGUGUAAGAGCCAAAAAAUCAGAGCCCUCUAAAUGCAGCUUGAGAGAUGUGCAUAUGGUCCUAUGGAGACUCGGGCAUGCACAGGUCUGGACCUACUUGGAUCCCAGUGCUGAGAGCAGAAGUGGACACAGCCUCCAUCCCUAACUGAGAAGCUACCUCCAAUUGAUAACCACUCAUAAAUGAAAAACUAGUUUUCUCCAAUGGAGUCUCAUUGGGUAUACAAAGCACUUUUAAGGCCAGACCCCAACCCCAGACCAAGUGAACUCAGAGGUCUUUUAGGAGGACUUUUGGCUCAUGAUACUGUCUGAGUAUUUUUCUUUUCUUUUUUUCUUUCUUAUACAUGAUGGUUUCCAAUUGUGUUUUUUGGGAGGGGGGUUCUGUGGGUCCCAAUAUUUCAUAUCUAUGUCUAUAUAUAUAUAUUUUCUCUGCUUUUUCCUUAGCUCUUUGUUUCUCUGUUUAUUUGCUUGCUUUACCCUAUUCGUGUAUUCAUGUUUGAUGUUUUUAUUUUGUUUUACUGUUGGCCUUUUUUUUUUUUAGAUGCCUGUUUUUUUUGAAAUGAGAGAGCAAGAAAAGAUGUAUAUUUCAGUGGGUAAGGAGUGUGGAGGACCUGGGUGAAGUUGAGGGAAGGGGACCCAUAAUCAGAAUACACUGAAUGAAGAAAAUCUAUUUACAAAAAAAAAUCCAAGGGAGAAAGAAAAGAGUUUUAAUGCUUUUUGUAAUAUUUACCACAUUAUACUGCAGUUACUCUGUACUUGGUUUCUUUCUUAUCAUAGUUACUAAGGAAAUAUUAACAGUACACAUCAUGCUGUGACCACAUUCAACCUCCCUAUGGCUUUUCUUACCACCUCCCUCACCAUUCUUUCCCCUUCCCCGGGAGUCCCCUACUUCUACUUUAUUUGUUUAGUUUUUUAAAUUCUAAAUUCCAGAAAGAAGAGAACAUGUGGUAAUUGCCUUUCUGCCUCUCACAUUUCUCUUUCUGCCUCUGAUAAUUUCUCUUAGCAUGACGUCUAGUUGACUUGUUUUUCUGGCAGAUGUUAUGAGCUCCUCCUCCUUCACGGUGGCAUAAUAUUCCAUUUUAUGUUGUGGGGGGAGGGAAAGGAACACGGAAAGGGGGGUUCUUUAUCAAGUCAUCUACUGACUGGCACUUUGGAGGAUUCUAUAAUUGAGCUAUUAAGGAUCGUGCAGGGAGUGACGUGGGCACACAGGAGUCUCUGUUGUAGACUGACUUCGUUUCUGUUAGGUACAUAACAAGGAGACGUAUAGUUGGACCACAUGGUAGUUCCAUUUUUUCGUUUUUAAUUUCUUACCAAUAGUGUAUUCAAGACCCACCCCUCAUGAGGCUCUCACUCUGUUUGUUUGUUUGUUUAUCUAGGAUCUCCCAUGGCCCAGGCUAUCACCCCAGUUCCCUGCCCAGCCGAGGAUAACCUUGAACUGCUGAUCUUGUUGCCUUUACCUCGAUCAUGCUGUGUAGCACAGGCUAGCCUGGGAUUUAUUAACCUUAUGCGUCAGUAUCCUGAGAGACUAUGGUUACAAGAGCAAGCCGCUACAUUCUGCUUCCUACUAAUGCUUUCUAUUGUUUUAGUAUAGCAUUUUAGCCUAUGUUGUUUUAAACUUCUAAAACUUUCAUUUUUCAGCCUUUAACGAUAGGAUUUUUUUCAAGAAAUUUCUAUAUAUUGGUGUUUUUCUCCUCACUGGCAGAACUUCACAGAAAAGGAAGACAACGUUGUAACAUGCUUCUUCAGACUCAAUAAAAAGAACUGAAAACAACAAGAUUUACAUGGGUGACAUAUUUAUGCCAGAGUGAAGAUUUUUCACAUUAUGUGUGUAAUUAUCUCCUCAAGAUUAGUUCUUGGCUUCUAAAACAAAGGACUUUCUGGAGGUAAACUUUAAAAUAAGCAGUGGCUUUGAGGAGGUAGAGACUUAGUGCACACAAACAAAACGAGACCUGCAGAGGGGGCAGGGAGAGAGACAGAGACACGACCAAACAUUUCAGAAGUUUUAUUAAGAAAACUUUGAAAGUCGGGUCAAACAAUUGAAGUUCACAGUGUACUAGAAGAAAGGGAAGGCGGUCACUUCUCGUUGCUCCCUGCUGUAAAAUUUGUUGUCUUGGAAUUUUUUUCAAAGAAUUACAGCUUCUUGCUUAGCACUAUGCAGAAUUUAGUACCUGAAUUUUAAAAGGGAGAUGAGAUGACAUAAUGUAUCAUAGUCAAAAUAAAUAAUUCUGAAGAUGGCCCAGAUAAAAUAGUUUGAUGAAAAUCCCUUUGGGGAUGUCCAAAGGAAAUUUUUUUACAUGCAUUCAUUUAGGCAAUUAGAAUUAUUUCUGAUGCUAUCAGCAGGGUGGGCAGGUUGUCUCUUGAAUGUGCUUAACUCAAAGAUGCUUUGGCAUGCUUUAGUGUUUUCCUCAUUAAAGGGUAAAGCAUUAUGAAAUAUUUUCAUUAAUAAUUUAAAAAACAACACACGUGUAGCUUACUUCAUCUCUACCUCACAGUGAUGAUCUCCAGGUGACAUUUGGCAUCUCUGUGUAUGUACGCAUUGGCCGGAGAAUGGAAGGAAGGUCCAGCCGACCUAGACACCCGUGUGCUCUCUGUUUCUUGCACUGUCACAUGUUGGCACCAUGCCUUGUAACUCUAAACCCAUGCAGCCACAUAAAUUUCUUUUAUUCAUUGUUAGUCAGUCUCAGAAAUUUUGUUACAACAAUGACAGGAACACACACACACACACACACACACACACACACACACACACACACACUCUUAGAAAAACUAAAUAACCAGAAAUUUAGACCUGAAAAAUGCCUCGGAAAAGAUCUCCUUAUCCCCAGAUUUAUUUGGAUAUACCUUUACCGUCAUUGUGAUACAACAAACUAAGCACACUGAUGCUUCUGGGGCUUCAGCUCUAAGAAGGGUGUGUACCAUGGGUAGACUCCGGCUGCCUGGGUGGCUUUAUCCUAAGCUGUUUGUUGACUUGGCUUUCCUCUCUUAGCUCAUACUCCAACUAAAGGACUUGCACUGAAGGAUUUUUUUUUCUUUAAGUAUGAAGUCCAGGAAAAGCAAAAAAAAAGUAAAACAUAGUUUUAGAGAUUUGUCUUUAAAAAGAUGUGUACUUUCUACUUAAUGUAUACUUGUCAGAAACAAAUCAAGAAGAAAUCCAAAAUGGCCUGUUGCCAUUCCCAUUUCACUGUAUAGUACAAAUCAUUGUUUUCUGUACGUUUAUUAUUGAUGUUAUUUACUGUAAACAUCUAUGUGACUUACAAAAAUGAUCACCUUUUAACUUUGAUAAAGCACAACAUAUAAAGGAGCAGAGGGAGAGAUAAUGAAGAGCAGGUCAGUAGAGAGAGGGGAGAAAGUGUUUCCAGCACUUUCCAAAUACUGAGCAUUGGUUUGGAAUGAGUCUGAAAAAAAUGUGUCAUGUGUGCUAAACCUAGAAGCCACAAAAGUACUGGAUAAUAAAACCUGCAGAAUUCAAACCCA